RNAcentral lists this long non-coding RNA (1898 nucleotides) under Olea europaea subsp. europaea. Lineage: Eukaryota; Viridiplantae; Streptophyta; Magnoliopsida; Lamiales; Oleaceae. The record is from RNAcentral.
CCAAGGUUUAACUAACUGUUGAAACCCACGUACAUAAUGCACAAGAAAUUAAUGUAAUGGAAAUAACAACUUAAGCCCUAGACUGGAAGUAAAUAACAAAUGUAGCAAUUAUAUGAAAAAGAAGGAAAAUGGCCAGCAUGCAAAACAGAAAAUCAAUCCAUGCAAUGCACGUCCCCACGCAACGGCUCAUGCAAUGUUUCCAUAAUAUCUGGGAUUCUUCCUAGAUAUUCUCUUGGUUCUUCAUGGUUUAUCAAUGCCCUUCCCAUGAGGUGGACGUUUGUCCUCAAGGUCCAUGGUAGGAAAUCGCUGCCUUAUCAACUCCAUCAUCUGCCAGGUUGCCUCUUCUGGAGGCAAACGACUCCAUUCUACUAAGACCUCCUCAAUGGACUUGUUUCCCUGUUUGACCCAACGUGUAUCCAAAAUUUUAUCGGGCUCCAACACAAUAGCUCCAUCAUUUGAAACUGGGGAUAAUUCCUUACUGACUUUCGCAUGCUCUCCAUGGUACUUCUUUAGGAGGGACACGUGGAACACAGGAUGUAUCCGUGCUCCCUGGGUAGUUGAAGCUUGUACGCCACUUUUCCAAUUCACUGCUAGAUAGGGUAAGGUCUAAAAAAUUGACUAGCUAAUUUUUGAUGUGCACAUUUGAAAGCUGUAUGCUAAUGAUAGGGUUAUAGCUUUAAGAGCACCAUAUCUCCUUUAUGAAAUUUCGCAUCUCGCCUUUUUUCUAUCCGCCACCUGUUUCAUAAGGUUAUAGCCACCUCCAAAUUGUUCUUCAGUUGUUGUAGUAGUUUGUCCCUGUGCAAUAAACUUUGGUCUAUGUCAUUUACCGAGAGAGCCCUGCUCGAUAAAAUGGAAUUGCUGGUGGAAUUGGACCGUAAAGGGCUUGAAAUGGAGUCAUUCCAGUAGAGCUAUGAUAGGUUGUAUUGUACCAAAAUUCUACCCAUGGAAAAAAUUCAGUCCAUUUCUUAGGCCACUGAUGGAUGAAGCUGAGGAGAUACUGCUGAAGACAUCGUUUCGCCACUUCGGACUGGCCAUCCAUUUAUGGAUGACAGGUAGAGAUAAGUUUGAUCUUGAUUCCUAACAUGGCAAAUAACUCCUACCAAAACUUAUGAAGAUAGGAUCUUGGUCCCUGAUUAUAGAUUGAGGCAUACCAUGUACUUUGACGAUCCCUUCCACAAAUUUUUCUGCUAUCUCUUUAGCAGUAAAGAGAUGAGAUAAUGAAAGGAAGUGAGCAUAUUUAGUCAAUUGAUCAACAACCACUAAUACCACAUCCUUGUCCCUAGAAGUGGGUAAUCCUUCAAUGAAGUCAAGAGUGAUAUCAUCCUAGACUUGACAUGGUAUGGGCAAGGGUUGGAGAAGCCUUGCUGGUUCAAGUGCAUGUGAUUUAGUCUUUUGACAUACUUUGUAGGAAGAGACAUAAUCUUGGACUUCUUUGUACAUGGAUGGCCAGUAAAAUUGCUGGGCUAAUCGUUUAUAAGUGCGCAACACCCCUGAAUGACCUACAUGCUUGCUAUCAUGAAAUUCAGCCAACAACUUUUUGCGAAUCUCAGGUACACGAGGGACAACCAUUCUGGACUUACAGAAACCAACCCAUUACGCAAUUUAUAUGGACCUUCGGGCUUCUUUUUGGCUAUUCGGACCACCUGGCCAAUGUACGCAUCCUCUUCGACGGCCUUCUUUAUUUCUUCCCAAAUUGUAACUUAUGGCACAAACAAAUGGUUAAGAAUUGGGCUAUUGGGCUUUCGGGAAAGGGCAUCCGCAGCGGAAUUGUCACAACCUAGUUGGUAGACUAUCUCAUAAUCAUAGCCCAAUAACUUAGCCACCCACUUUUGUUGCUCUAGAGUUGCCACACGGUGCUCUAAAAAAUAUUUGAGACUCUUUUGAUCUGUUUGAAUGAU